GAUGAACGCUAGCGGCAGGCCUAACACAUGCAAGUCAGGGGUAACAUAGAAAAGCUUGCUUUUCUGAUGACGACCGGCGCACGGGUGCGUAACGCGUAUACAACCUACCUUUUAGCGGGGAAUAGCCCAGGGAAACUUGGAUUAAUGCCCCAUAGUAUAUAGACUUCUCCUGAAGUUUAUAUUAAACAUUUAUGGCUAUUAGAUGGGUAUGCGUCCUAUUAGUUAGUUGGUAAGGUAACGGCUUACCAAGGCAGCGAUAGGUAGGGGUCCUGAGAGGGAGACCCCCACACUGGUACUGAGACACGGACCAGACUCCUACGGGAGGCAGCAGUGAGGAAUAUUGGACAAUGGGCGAGAGCCUGAUCCAGCCAUGCCGCGUGCAGGAAGACUGCCCUAUGGGUUGUAAACUGCUUUUACAGAGGAAGAACCACCCCCACGUGUGGGGGUUUGACGGUACUCUGCGAAUAAGGAUCGGCUAACUCCGUG
Molecule: ribosomal RNA, 486 nt
Filed under: uncultured bacterium
Lineage: Bacteria
Description: bacterial SSU rRNA
Rfam family: Bacterial small subunit ribosomal RNA
Source: RNAcentral